UACAGAGGGUGCAAGCGUUGCUCGGAAUCAUUGGGCGUAAAGGGCAAGUAGGUGGUCUCAUUUGUCUAGGGUGAAAUCCUUGAGCUUAACUCAAGAAGUGCCCCAGAAACGGUGAGACUCGAGUACUGGAGAGGGUCGUGGAAUUCCCGGUGUAGCGGUGAAAUGCGUAGAGAUCGGGAGGAACACCAGAGGCGAAGGCGGCGACCUGGACAGUUACUGACACUCAACUACGAAAGCGUGGGGAGCAAACAGG
Molecule: ribosomal RNA, 253 nt
Filed under: uncultured bacterium
Lineage: Bacteria
Description: partial 16S ribosomal RNA
Rfam family: Bacterial small subunit ribosomal RNA
Source: RNAcentral